RNAcentral lists this ribosomal RNA (424 nucleotides) under uncultured bacterium. RNAcentral's name for it is "bacterial SSU rRNA". It matches the Rfam family "Bacterial small subunit ribosomal RNA", at positions 356 to 772 of the family's 1533-position model. The record is from RNAcentral.
GGGGAAUCUUGCACAAUGCGCGAAAGCGUGAUGCAGCAACGCCGCGUGGGUGAAGACGGCCUUCGGGUUGUAAAACCCUUUCAGUUGGGACGAAGCUUCGUCGGUUAAUAGCCGACCGGAGUGACGGUACCUUCAGAAGAAGCCCCGGCUAACUACGUGCCAGCAGCCGCGGUAAUACGUAGGGGGCAAGCGUUGUCCGGAAUCAUUGGGCGUAAAGCGCGUGUAGGCGGCUCGAUAAGUCUGCUGUGAAAGUCCAGGGCUCAACCCUGGAAUGCCGGUGGAAACUGUCGGGCUAGAGUACGGAAGAGGCGAGUGGAAUUCCUGGUGUAGCGGUGAAAUGCGCAGAUAUCAGGAGGAACACCAAUUGCGAAGGCAGCUCGCUGGGACGUUACUGACGCUGAGACGCGAAAGCGUGGGGAGCAAA